GUUCCCAUCCCGCUCCCGCAUACAGCCAGCCACCUACCUACCUCCCUCUCUCUCAAACCUCAGUCUCAGUUGAAGCACGCUGACGGCCGCGAGAGUCUCUCACCGUUCUCGUCCCUUCUCCGUUCUCGUCCUUCAGUUCAGUCCCGCAGCCACGGCCAUCCACCCACCCAGUCGCCAGUUCCGCAGCCACCCACCCACGGACCCACCCACUCGCGAAAGCCAGCCAGAGCCUCUUCUCAGCCACAGCAACAAGCGCUUUACAUUGUCAUUGACUGUCGUUUUAUCUUUGGUUCUGUUAUUUGGAGAGGCCAAAACUAUUGAUCCUUAUAAGGUAAAUUCAAUUGAUUCCAUUCUUUUGUUUUUCUAAUGGUUUUAAAGAAAAUUUUUGCCCCGAAUUGCAUUUGGGUGUGGAUUCUCAUUGUUCACCAUUCUCCUUUUGAUGUAUGUUUGGACCAAUUUCUGCGCCUCCUACAAUUCCCUCUACAUUUGGGGGAAAUUUUGAACUUUAUAUUUGCUGAGUAAAAUUGUUGGCUUUUGAUGUUCAGUUAAAGCUGAUUGAAUCUCAUCUCGGCUUUUGCUCUGAAAUUUGAAGCCUGUAUAUGAAGCAGAUGCAGAUGAUCUGUUUCAAAUUUGUGAACAAAAGAAUUUGCUUCGAAAUUAAGCUAACUGGUUUUUGGGAUAAUUUAACUAUUGAACCAAAUCCAUAAUAAAAUCCACAAAAGUAUUCAAUAUGAACUUAUGUGACUUUUCAUUUAAGUCUAAGAAACAGAACAAAAAGUCUUGCAUGAAAUCCCAACCAAUCUUCAUCUACCGUUAUAAUCUUGCUUCCACCAUUUCCCGCAUCGACUACCAUAAAGUGUUUUCAAACUCUCGGAGUACUCUAUUAGUGUGAUGUAAUUUUUAGGAAGUGCAAUACUUAUAUUCUUUAUAGUAUUACUAUUAGAACAACUUUUUCAAGAGUCGAUUAUUGUGUACUAAUUGAGGUUAAAUUCAAUUUUUUUCUUCCUUAGAGAUGGCAGUCAGACUAGUCUGGGUUUAUCGAUCAGGGAGCUAAACGAGCCGGUAGCCAAAAAGAAUUUAUGGAUCUAUAAUUGCAACUAAUUUCAAAGUUUUGAUUAUUCUCUACAAGAAUUGAAAUGUGGAUAUAAUUGAGAAUUUGCACAAAG
RNAcentral lists this long non-coding RNA (1166 nucleotides) under Manihot esculenta (cassava). Its description in RNAcentral is "long non-coding RNA (MESC_LNC008646)". Lineage: Eukaryota; Viridiplantae; Streptophyta; Magnoliopsida; Malpighiales; Euphorbiaceae. The record is from RNAcentral.